Molecule: ribosomal RNA, 913 nt
Filed under: uncultured bacterium
Lineage: Bacteria
Description: bacterial SSU rRNA
Rfam family: Bacterial small subunit ribosomal RNA
Source: RNAcentral
AGAGUUUGAUCAUGGCUCAGAUUGAACGCUGGCGGCAGGCCUAACACAUGCAAGUCGAGCGGAUGAGGGGUGCUUGCACCCCGACUCAGCGGCGGACGGGUGAGUAAUGCCUAGGAAUCUGCCCGAUAGUGGGGGACAACGUUUCGAAAGGAACGCUAAUACCGCAUACGUCCUACGGGAGAAAGUGGGGGCUCUUCGGACCUCACGCUAUCGGAUGAGCCUAGGUCGGAUUAGCUAGUUGGUGGGGUAAAGGCCCACCAAGGCGACGAUCCGUAACUGGUCUGAGAGGAUGAUCAGUCACACUGGAACUGAGACACGGUCCAGACUCCUACGGGAGGCAGCAGUGGGGAAUAUUGGACAAUGGGCGAAAGCCUGAUCCAGCCAUGCCGCGUGUGUGAAGAAGGUCUUCGGAUUGUAAAGCACUUUAAGUCGGGAGGAAGGGCUGUAGGUUAAUACCCUGCGGUUUUGACGUUACCGACAGAAUAAGCACCGGCUAACUUCGCGCCAGCAGCCGCGGUAAUACGAAGGGUGCAAGCGUUAAUCGGAAUUACUGGGCGUAAAGCGCGCGUAGGUGGUUUGGUAAGUUGGAUGUGAAAGCCCCGGGCUCAACCUGGGAACUGCAUCCAAAACUGCCUGACUAGAGUACGGUAGAGGGUGGUGGAAUUUCCUGUGUAGCGGUGAAAUGCGUAGAUAUAGGAAGGAACACCAGAGGCGAAGGCGACCACCUGGACUGAUACUGACACUGAGGUGCGAAAGCGUGGGGAGCAAACAGGAUUAGAUACCCUGGUAGUCCACGCCGUAAACGAUGUCGACUAGCCGUUGGGCUCCUUGAGAGCUUAGUGGCGCAGCUAACGCAUUAAGUCGACCGCCUGGGGAGUACGGCCGCAAGGUUAAAACUCAAAGGAAUUGACGG